This 88-nucleotide transfer RNA is filed under the name Candidatus Bathyarchaeota archaeon. RNAcentral's name for it is "tRNA-Leu". It matches the Rfam family "tRNA". Rfam says of the family: Transfer RNA (tRNA) molecules are approximately 80 nucleotides in length. Their secondary structure includes four short double-helical elements and three loops (D, anti-codon, and T loops). The record is from RNAcentral. RNAcentral also lists the same sequence under 1 other name. Lineage: Archaea; Thermoproteati; Candidatus Bathyarchaeota.
GCGGGGGUCGCCGAGCCAGGUUAAAGGCGCAGGCUUCAGGAGCCUGUCCCGUAGGGGUUCGUGGGUUCGAAUCCCACCCCCCGCACCA